UCUCCGUAGGUGAACCAGCGGAAGGAUCAUUAACGAGAAUUUGACCUUCGAGGCAGUUCUGCAACCCUUUGCCUAUAUCAUCUUCGUCGCUCUUGCCGGCCCGUCCCCGCACCACUGGCCUCGGCUUGUCUGUGCAUCCCAGGAUACCCAAGAGUCUUCUUAUUAAUGUCGUCAGAGUUCUAAAUACUAGUCAAAACUUUCCACAACGGAUCUCUUGGUUCUCGCAUCGUAGAAGCACGCAGCAGAUCGCAAGACCAAACGUCGGAACUCCAGUCACGC
This 279-nucleotide unclassified non-coding RNA is filed under the name plant metagenome. RNAcentral's name for it is "partial contains small subunit ribosomal RNA, internal transcribed spacer 1, and 5.8S ribosomal RNA". The record is from RNAcentral.